AAAUUGAAGAGUUUGAUCAUGGCUCAGAUUGAACGCUGGCGGCAGGCCUAACACAUGCAAGUCGAACGGUAACAGGAAGCAGCUUGCUGCUUYGCUGACGAGUGGCGGACGGGUGAGUAAUGUCUGGGAAACUGCCYGAUGGAGGGGGAUAACUACUGGAAACGGUGGCUAAUACCGCAUAACGUCGCAAGACCAAAGAGGGGGACCUUCGGGCCUCUUGCCAUCAGAUGUGCCCAGAUGGGCCCAGAUGGG
This 252-nucleotide ribosomal RNA is filed under the name Salmonella enterica. RNAcentral's name for it is "partial 16S ribosomal RNA". The record is from RNAcentral. Lineage: Bacteria; Pseudomonadati; Pseudomonadota; Gammaproteobacteria; Enterobacterales; Enterobacteriaceae.